UUGCGAGUUCGAAAAAAAAUGUUUUAUCUGUGAGUAUGCAUGUUUAAUCCGCAAGGCAUGCUGGGAGGUUUGUGUUAGCACGUCCCUACAGACGCAGGUAUCUACUGUUCUCACUUUCCGGACGAGUUACUGGCGAGUUCCUCGGCGAGUUCGUCCCUCUCCGCCUCCAUCUGCUUUCGAGCUCGCUCAGCCGCCGCCAGCAUCUACGUAACAACCAAAGGAAGUUACAGGAAGUUGUACUUGAUUGUUUUUGUGUACUGAAUUUGAAACCCAAAUGGCGGCAUCCUGAACUUCGCCAGCAGAGGGCACUGUUGACCCAGGCUGGUGAGGGUCACACCCGGUCCAGUACUAAGGUACCUCAUGUAGCUGCACUAUGUCCGCCUCCAUGGCCUUGGAUUUCCGCUCGGCCUCUCUCGCUGAGGCCAGCACGUCCUUCUGAGCCGCACGGGAAUCUUCCAGCUCCCGUUGGAGAUCCUUCACCUGACCCUGAGAAGGCAGGACAAGAACUUCAGGCUAGAAGAUAAAGGAACUUGAGGAAGAUGUUUAGUGUUUUGCAUACUCACCUGGAUCUUGCGCAGCUGCUUGACGGCCUCGUCUCGUCCUCUGUUGGUGGCCUCCAGCUGGUCCUCCAUGUCCUUCAGCUCGCCCUCCAACUUCUUCUUGCCGCCAGAUGCCUGACCUCGCUGCUUCUUCUCCUCCUCCAGCUCGGCCUCCAGCUCACGCAACUGAAGAACCGGGGAGAUACAUUAGCUACAAGUACACACAAAUGUAUCUACAGAUGAUGACAAUCUUGGAUCAGUUCAAUUCAAAGCCUGGCGUCCCACCGGGCUUAAUCAUAGGUCCAUUGUUCUUCCAUGCUUCACUGCUUUCAUUCCUAAAAGCAACACCAAAGUGCGUGAGAUCAACUCAGUACCUGCUUGAGGAGCUGCUUCCUCUUCUCCUCGCCCAUCUCCUCCCGGGCCUGCAGCUCCCUCUCGUGCUGGGCUUUGAGGGCCUGACUGUUGACCUCCAGACGUAGCUUGGCAUCCUCGGCGACCUGCAGCUCAUCCUCCAGCUCCUCCAUGUGGGCCUUCAUCUCCUCCACAACGCCCUCCAGGCCACGCUUGGCCUUCUCCAGGUCAUGGACCUGAAGUGGAGAAGAGAACCAGUAAUCAGUAAGCUUCUCUAAGCGUCCUCUCACACAGUGGUCCUACAAAAGCAGUGUGAAAAUGACGUUUCUGUGGCUUACACUUCUUCCCACGUCGUCUUUGGAGCUGACCAGGUCCUCCAUCUCAGCUCGGAGGCCUUUCAUGGUCUUCUCUGCCUCCUCCAGAGCCUCACGGUUCUCCUCCAGUGCUCUUGAUAGAGCCAACACCUUGGUCUCCUUCUCCCUCGCCUCGGCCUCUGCUCGAUCCCGCUCCUCUGCAAACUUACCGGACACGGCUCGCUCCUCCGCCAGCAUCUAAGGAAACACGUGUUGGAAGUUCUAAAGCUGAGGUGCCCUGCAGUCCAGAAGGUCGACAGACACCUCAAGCCCACCUGAUCAAACUUCUUCUGCUUCUUCUCCAGGUUGGAGACAAGCUGCCGCUGGCUGUCCAGGUCCAUGAGGACGUCCUCCAGCUCCUGCUGCAGUCGACCGCGACUCUUGUCCAGCUUGUCGUAGGCCGAGGCCUUCUCCUCGUACUCGUUGUUGGCCGCCUCCAAGUCACGCUGCAGACGCUUCUUUCCCUCCUCCAGCAUCUCCACAGAGCCCAACGUCUCAUCCAGCUUCUUCUUGCAGUCUGCCAGCUGACGACAGGAGACCAGCUCAUUGAAUACUCCGUGACGGCCCGCCACGUUCAGCUUCUGACGCGUCUCCUCUGACAGCAGCUCCUGGAGAAUGACGAGCAAGCACGUGAGGAGAGGUUCUUCAUCACAUGAACAUCCUAUUCUUAGACGAAGAACUCUUCUAUGGUCUACAGGUCUCCCUUCACCUGUGUGUCCUGGAGCUGCGAGGACAAACCGGAAACAUCUUUACUAAGCUUGAUGUUCUUCCCCUCCGCUUCAUUCAGUAGACUGCUCAGGUUGUCCACUUCCAUCUGGCAGAGAAGAAGGAAAGGUAAGAAGGAAAGAUAGUGUACUUGUAGAAGGUCGAGUCCCAAGUUGUGUUUUGAGGGCCUACAGUCAUCUUGGAGACCCGCUCGCCCAGCUCGGUCCUCUGCCGCUCGCUCUCGUUGAAGCGUGAGUUGAGGUCGUUGAGCUGACCCUCCACCUUCUUCUUCUUGUGCUCCACGUCCUGCUUGGCGCUGGCGAGGGAUCGAAGGUCAGCGCUGAGAUCUGCAGACUCUUUCUCCAGAGUCUGCUUGGCUUUCUCCAGACCUGCUCUCACCUGGAGGAGCCAAGUCAGGCAUUUGGUGAGGUUCUCCCUAGAAGAUGUUUAUUCCAAGUGAUUGUGUUGAUGUUUACUCUCUUGGCCUGCUCCAGCUGCUCAGAGAGUUCCUCCACAGCCUGACCGUGCUUCUGCCUCAGGUCUUGGAUUUGGGCCUCGUGACUCCGCCCCUCCUCCUCCAUGGCUUUCUUCAGCAUGGCCACCUCCUGCUCACGCUUGGCCCUGCAGCCACCACAGACACGCCCAAGAACAUCGCAAACAUCAACGCCAUCAUGUGUCUUUGUGUGCGUUCAGGUCCACGGCGGACCACGCAGUCUGACCGAAGCUCCUGCUGGGCGGCGGUGGUGUCCAGGCUGUCCUCCAGCUCAGACCGCAGGGCGUUUAGCUCCUCCCCCAGGUCCCGACGGGCUGCCUCCACCUUCGCUCGGGCUGCCCUCUCAGCCUCCAAGUCCUCCUGCACCUCAGAGAGGAAGGCCUCCAGCUCCCGAACCUUCUUCACAGCCGCCCCGCGUUGGUUGCUCUCCUCGUCCAAACUGUGGACACCAAGCGUCAUUGUGGGCAGGAGCUGGGGGACGCAGCUGGUCACACGUCCCGCCUUCUUACCGGGCCUGCGUGGCUUGCAGCUCCUCUUCCUUGGCAGCCAGCUGAGCUCGGAGCUCGGCUAGUUGGGCCUGCAGGUCAGCCAGCUGCUCGUGGAGCUCCGCCACCUCGGCCUCCACCUUCCUCUUGGCCUUCUCCAUGUCCAGACGACCCUUCUCUUCCUUCUUGAAGCGUACUGGACAAGAAGAACACACGUGUUCAACAUGCUUGUUGGUAGAGAACCUGUUCAAGAGCCGACCGACCCUCCAAGUCGGAGAUCAUGGACUCGUGCUUGCUCUUCAGUUUGGUCAGGUUCUUGGACUUCUCCUCCUCCUCGGCCAGGUUGGAGUUUAAAUCGGCCAUCCUCUCCUCCAGAAGCUUUCGCUCCUACAAGCACGAGAAAUGUCAAAGAUGUUCAACACGUCCAUCAAACGAGACUACAAUGUUCAUACCUUCUGCAGUUUGUUAUUCUGGUCCUCCAUCUGGAGAACAUCCUCCUCCAGUUUCUUCACCUUUCCCUCCACGGCCACCUUCUCCAGCUGCAGCUUCUGACGAGCAUCUUCUUCUUCCACCAAGUGGGCCUCCAUGGUCUAUUAGGGGACAUGAGCGUGUGAAGAUUCAAUAAUGUUGAACAUCUUGUUUCACGCUCAGAGCUUGGAACGAUUGAGCAGCACUAGCCGAGGAGCUAAAAGCUCAUUAGAUGUUUGAACGAAGCUACGUACCUGCAGCUGCUGCUCCAUGUCCUUCCUCUCCUGCUGCAGGGAGCUGCUGCGUUCCUCCUCUUCCUCCAGCCUGGCCUCCAUCUCAUGCAGAACCUCCUCCAGCUCCUGCUUCUUGGCCUCCAGGCGCACCCUCAUCUCCUCGGCCUCGGCGUACAGCUCCGUCUCCGCGUGGAGUUUGGACUCCAGCUGCGCUCGUUCCUCCAUCAGCUACAGGAACACACACACGCUGACUCACAUCCUGGUUGAGAUGUUUGGAGUGGCUCGGUGUCUCCUCACCUGCGUGUGUUUCUGGGUGAUGUCCUUCAGUUCGGCCUCCUUCUUGGCCGCUGCAUCUUUGGCUGCCUUGAGUUCCUCCUCCUUCUGGCCCAUUUCCUCCUCCUGUCUGGUUACCUGCAGCAAGGGCUUCACCUGCAGCAGACCACAAAACCAUCUCUUGAGUGUCACGUCUCUUGAGCAUCAGUGAAGCUGUGGACCUGACUGUCCAACCUUGGUGAAGAGUCUCCACCACUGCCAGUUCUUCAGCUUCAGGUAACAGGCACAGUUCCUCUGGAUGACCUUCAUGGCGCUCAGCUGCUGCUGACGUUUACUGAAAGCCCUGAAGGGGACGGACGGACGGACGGACGGAGACGUGGAUUAGGUACACCAUCACCCCCAAGCGGAGACAGAAGUGUCGUACUUGCGGGCCAGGAAGCCCCUCGCUUGUGCUUGGAAAGAGAUGAUGAUGACGGUGAGCUUGAUGUCUCGUUCCUCCUCCAGCUGAGCCAGCACCCCCGUCCUGAAGAACAUCUUACUCUGGCCGAUGCGAUACAGGUUGGGGUCCAGGUCCAGAUGCUUCACCUGAAGAAUGACAAACAUCAGCAGGUAGGCAUGCAGGCCCGGUGGCCUAAUGGAUAAGGCAUCAGCCUCCGGAGCUGGAGAUUGUGGGUUCAAGUCCCGCCUGGGUCGCAAUAUUACAUCCCAUAAUCAGUAAAAGUACUUUUUACUUUAUUUACAGAAUAUCAAAGUGGCAUUCUUCAGUAUGUUCCUCCCUCACUGGAAGAAGUUUGGACACCCCUGCGCUAAAGUUUCCACAUCUCCGCCCUGCCAUUAAUGAGUUAGUCCUAAAGGCCUGACCGUCUUGAUUCCAGCCCAACCUUCUCACCAUCAAGCAGCAGGCCUGCUUCCCAUCCAUGAAGCCUUUCGGGAUGGCGUUGGCAGCCAGGAUCUCGUACCUGCACACACAUGACAUCCAUUUCAAAGCAACAUCUAAAGUUGGAACGUGAAUCCGGGCUCGGCUAAAACGAGGCAGCACACCUCUGCCGGAACUCCUGGAACACAAUGCGGUUUGGGAAUCCCUGUCUGCAGAUUCGGAUGCCCUCCAGCACGCCGUUGCACCUGAGCUGCUCCAGCACCAGGUUGGCGUCCAUCUUGCCCGCCUGACACAUAAAGACUGAAUGAGGAGCCGCUUUCAGGGCGGCGGCGUGAACGUGGAGGAGGUACCCUCUUCUCAUGGUUGGGGAUGAUGCAGCGCACAAAGUUGGGCUGCGUGUUGUGCAGCGUGGUCAUCAGCUUGCCCAGGGACUCCUUGUACAGCUGGCCCACCGUGCGGAACAUCCCCUUCUUGGAUUUGGUGGAGGUGGGCAUGGAGCUGUCCGACAUCUUGGCCAUGGUCUCCAGGCCGACCACUCGAUCCGCUGACGGGGAAAAAAAUUUCAACCGUCAGCUUAAAGCUUCUUCCCCCGAAGGAGACGUCUGAAGCCUGACCGUCCUUCCAGAGGUCCUGGAUGAAGUUGCUGGAGGAGUUGCUGAGCAGAGCCGUCACGUUGUCGUUGAGAGGGUCCAUGUUCUUCGUCAGCCAGCUGGCGGCGUUGUAGUCCACCUGGGGGGCCACAACUGAAGCUAGUGGCAGCUUAGCAGAAACACGCCCCAGAAGAAGCCAAGGUGGGGUCUCACCCAGGUGGUCUCACCCACCCGAUGCUCACCUUACCAGCGUAGUGCAGAACAGUGAACAUCAGCUUAUCUUUGUGCUGUUUGGGUUUGGAGAAUUUGACGUGACCCGUGUGGGUGUUCAGCAACUUGUCCACAAAGGAGACGUCCGUCGCUUUGGGGAACCAGCACUCCUCGUCCAGCAGGGCCAAGAUGCCCGGGGGGUUGUUCUACCCCCCCCAGACAGUAUGUGAUAAUCUGCGUCAAGAUCUGAUUUGAGACAUUUGUGCUUCACACGUGCUGGUCCUGACCGGCCUCUCGAUGAGCUCGAUGCAGGGCUGCAGGUCCAAGCCGAAGUCGAUGAAGUUCCACUCGAUGCCCUCGCGCUUGUACUCCUCCUGCUCCAGGAUGAACAUGGUGUGGUUGAAGAGCUGCUGCAGGCGCUCGUUGGUGUAGUUGAUGCACAGCUGCUCAAACGAGUUGUCCUGAGAAACACCAAGGAUGAGAAACCUCAGAGUAGCGACGACAGCAGCACAUUUCAAAGAUGGCCGCCAUCCAUCACCUCGAAAAUCUCAAAGCCAGCGAUGUCCAAGAUUCCCAGGAAGGAGGAAGAUUGCCUCUUGCUCUUGUCCAGGGUCUUGUUGACCCGGGCCAGGAUCCAGCGGAACAGACGCUCGUACAUGGCCUUCGCCAGCGCCUCCACCGCAAAAUCAGCCUGGUGGACGGACGGUGAAGGCUUGGAGGACGACGCCAAGACGGGUUUCUGCUGGAUUCUUACCUGCUGCUUGGUCUGAGCCUUCUGCACCACCUCGCGGCCCACCUUGAUUCUGGGGGUCAGGAAGGCGCGGGUGAAGUCGGUCACGUUGAUGCCUUGAAGGUGACAAACCUUCUGGGCAGCUGCCGGCGACCAAAAACAUCUUCUCAUGCACAUGUCAUUGGAAAAGCUGUCAUGUGUCAUCUCUUAUUGGGGUACCCGUGUUGUCCGGCAUGGUGGCCUGCUCGUUGUUCCUCUCCUUCUCAAACUUGAUGUUGCCCAGCUGGAGAACGGUGGACACCACCUUUAACAUCCCUGCAGGGGGGCGGCAGGGACACAUCACAUGCAUCACCGGAGGGCCACCUUCAUCUGUGUCGGCAGUUUUGCUCUACUGGCAUUCCUGGUUCCAUCCUGGAGUAGGACCUGAACCUCACACCUCCAACCGAUUGUACUUCAUGUCUGUACCUAUUCUCUCCUCCUCUGUGAAGCCCAUGAUCUCCAUGGCCUCCAGGGUCUCGUCAAACAGCUCGUCGUCCUGCAGACCAGAUACCUCCACGUGUCCCGCCACCAGGAAACGAUAGCUGCUGAAGUCCUCCAGCAGCAGCUCCUCUGAAGGAGUAAACAAGUCCACGCUAGGACACCUUCUGCAAUUUGUUGGAGAGCUGAGAGGACGGCUCACCUUUGAUCUUGUCUUUGGCUCCUGCCACCAUGUAAUAGAAGAUGUGGAAGGCUCUCUCCGUGUUGGCCUGACGGAUGCAGCGAGACUUCUCCAAGAGGUCUGAUCAGGUCAGGAGAACAUUAAGGUCUCGUUGCAGCUAUUGAUUAAAAAAAGAGCCAAAGUAUUCCUAAACAAAAGGAUACAGGUGUCAAUGUUUGCCCCCACAAGGUAGCCGGUCACGUCAAAGUUGAGCUUGAUGAACUUGCCCUGCCGACACAGGUGGUCACAUGACACCCUUAAUUACCGAGGGAACGCCUGGUCAAAAUGGCGACGAGUGUCGACUUACGAACUGAUGGAAAAUUUACAAAUCGUGACGAGUUGUCGUUCUUGAUGGUCUUGGCGUUGCCGAAGGCCUCCAGGAUGGGGUUCGCCUGCAGCAGCUGCUUCUCCAGCUCCCCCUGCAGGACACAAGCGGAGGCGCACGUCAGACCAAACCAGACGUACGUGGACGUACGCGGACAUAGCAUCGAUACUCACGUAAGCCAGCGAUCCCGCUUGUUGUUGCUGUUGUUGCUGUGGCGGCUGCAGAAAAAAAAAAACAGAAUCACACAUCAGUUUCUCCACAGGAAUUCUUGUAUGUGUUAAAAUGGAGGUGGAGCACCGCAGGGCUGGGUUCUUGGUCCUCUAUGAGUCCAUACAAACUGUGUAGCACUGUCUGUCCUGGUCUAAUCAUUCAAGAUAACCCAUUCAUUUUCUAUAGUGCUUAUCCUCACUAGGGUGGCUAAGGGGUAUGCUGGAGCCUAUCCCAGCUGUCUUGGGGCGAGAGGCGGGGUCCACCCUGGACUGGUGGCCAGCCAAUCACAGGAAAAAGUGGCAAAAUGAACCUAAAUGGCUGCAUGGUGGAGCAAGCCGCCGCCAUGAUGAAGGAUCUGCUCCUACGGAAUGGACAGUGAAUAGUUACUAAGCGGUGUACAACAUAAGCCUGCCUCUCCCUUCCUUGCAACGCCCCUUCCCGUGUCCAAUGAAUCACAGGGAUCAAGGCGCCUUUCUGGGCAGACAUGGGGAGUAUUUGCACCAAGUCACAGUGGUGAACAUCUGGAUAAAGAGGUCCGUGCCGCAUCCGGAGGUUCAAGGACUUGGACUGCAAGGAUGGCGAGCGCGUUAACCUUCAGAGAGGAUGAUGUGGCGGUCCGUCAUGAAAAAGGUUUGGUUACGAUGGUAAAAUAAAGGCGGCCCCCACAUUCACAUCCGAGAUCGGAACCGGCUCAGGCUCAGCACUGCUCCUCCCCCAGCGAGUCCGUGUUCUCGCCCAAGUCUAUGGAGGCCGCUCUCAUCUUUCCCCGCCCCGCCCCGGGGUCGGGGCCCGGGUACACGUCCAGGGCGCCGGAGAUGGACUGCAGGGAGCGGUCCCGGAAGUAGUGGAAGGCCUCCUGGUCCAGGAAGUUCUGUUCCUCGCGGAGGCCCUGCUCAAACAGUUUGCGCUUGUGGCGGAACUCGAUCACCGUUUUGGUGUAGGAGUUGAGCGUGGUGACGGAGGCGGCCAUGCAGCACGUGAAGGAGCCCCAGGCCAUGCUGCUCGGAGGAGAAGACGUCGUGUUACUGGAAGGUUCUACUAGGUUCUAAACACGGGGGAACCAAUGCGGUGACGUCUGUGGUGUGUGUGACACCAAAUGAGCACCAGAGGACGUACCAGAAGGACCACCCAUAGUCCCAGCUGUGAGGCCUCCAGUCUUCAGGACCCAGACUGACUGUGAUCUGGAACACUUGUGUGUACAUCAUGUGGGCCACCAUACCUAGAAGACCUGAAACACACACACACACAGCGGUACAUAUUCUGCUAGAAGUUACUUUCACUUGGGAACGAUUGUCCCAAAACGUUGCGUCCAUCAUUGUCUCCCCCGUGGAAGCGUCCCUCAGUUCCGAACACCAAAUGAUCUGCUGUCAGGCCUCACUUAGAAGUCAUCGCUAAUAAACCGGAGCAGCGGUAACGAUGCUAAUUAGUCAUCAUACAGCCAGCAUUGAUUGAAGCCGCCGGUGCCAUCAGUUACACGUGUGGCUGUAAUCACUCUGCCUCUUACACGCCAUCGACCCCCGCCCACCGUCACACUGUGUGUGUGUGUGUGGCGGUAAAUAACAAGUGCCCCCCCAGAUUUACAGCACGCCAUAAAAAGAGCAUCAUUCCUCCUCCAACCUUGAUGUCGCCGUCCUUUUGGAUUUCCACGAAAUGCGCACACGUGCGUCACAUCACGUGAUUGGAAAAGGGCGACGUGGUCGCUGGGAGUUCAUCCCCCUCGACGGCGAGAGCAACCGACUCUUUAUUUGCCGUCCGCUCAGAAGCUAUGAGGGGGUGCUGGAGCCUAUCCGAGCUGUCUUCGGGCGUAAGGCGGGGUACACACUGGACUGGUGGCCAGCCAAUCACAGGGCACAUAUAGACAAACAACCAUUCACACUCACAUUCAUACCUAUGGACAAUUUGGAGUCGCCAAUUAAUCACCUAGCAUGUUUUUGGAAUGUGGGAGGAAACCGGAGUACCCGGAGAAAACCUCCACAAACUCCACGGGUGGAGGGUGGAAUUGAACCCUGGUCUCCUAGCUGUGAGGUCUGCACGCUAACCACUCGUCCGCCGUGCAGCCCUAGUUCAUGUUUAAUAAUUAAUUCAUUCAUUCAUUUUCUACCGCUUUUUCCUCACGAGGGUCGCGGGGGGUGCUGGAGCCUAUCCCAGCUGUCUUCGGGCGAGAGGUGGGGUACACCCUGGACUGGUGGCCAGCCAAUCACAGGGCACAUAUAGACAAACAACCAUUCACACUCACAUUCAUACCUAUGGACAAUUUGGAGUCGCCAAUUAAUCACCUAGCAUGUUUUUGGAAUGUGGGAGGAAACCGGAGUACCCGGAGAAAACCUCCACAAACUCCACGGGUGGAGGGUGGAAUUGAACCCUGGUCUCCUAGCUGUGAGGUCUGCACGCUAACCACUCGUCCGCCGUGCAGCCCUAGUUCAUGUUUAAUAAUUCAUUCAUUCAUUCAUUUUCUACCGCUUUUUCCUCACGAGGGUCGCGGGGGGUGCUGGAGCCUAUCCCAGCUGUCUUCGGGCGAGAGGCGGGGUACACCCUGGACUGGUGGCCAGCCAAUCACAGGGCACAUAUAGACAAACAACCAUUCACACUCACAUUCAUACCUAUGGACAAUUUGGAGUGGCUAAUUAACCUAGCAUGUUUUUGGAAUGUGGGAGGAAACCGGAGUACCCGGAGAAAAUCCACGCAUGCACGGGGAGAACAUGCAAACUCCACACAGAGAUAGCUGUCUGCGCGCUAACCACUUGACCACCGUGCAGCCCUAGUUCAUGUUUAAUAAUGACCUAUAUUAAUUGUCUAAUGGCGGCCCUGGCUGAUGACCUCAUCAUAAAUAACCAUAAUCAGUAAUCCAUGGAUCAUGAAACCCUCAUGGAUGCUUUCCGACUUCAUGUUCGUAUCGCUUGUAGGGUCGAACCUCCAUGAAGAUACUUGACGUUUCCUUUUGGACGUCCCGGCCUUGGCGGCGGUCGGCUGGCGUUGAGGGUAAGAAGACCGCGGCCCGCUUGUCAUGUGAACAGUCAUACUGGUUGCAGGCGGCGCCAGCUUCUUGGGUAAGAGGUUUAAGACCACUUCAAAUCCCUGGCGGCCAACAGUGACCCCGGAUGACCUCUCACGAACCUGCAUCGCUUGCCGCGUUUCCGAACAAGUGAUGCUGGCAAGACGGCUACACAGGGACACGCCCACGUGCCCAACAUGAGCCAUCUUACCGGAGAGCACGGUGAAGACGGCGGCGAAGGCGUUGAGCUUGAGCCCGUCGAUGACGUUGCUGGAGUGGAAAAGCUCCAAACACAUGAGACUGAAGCCGACCACCAGCAGCAGGAUGUAAAGAACCUCGGACACCACCGACAGCCACAACACGCCUGCACGCCGCACACACACACACACACACACGUGACACCAGGUGAGCUUGUCAUGCAUCAUCAUCACAGUACCGGGAAUACUGGGAAUACCCUGUAUCCAUUGUAUUUGUCGCUUGGAGGGGAGAAACGUGAGCUUUGCAAAACUGAACGGCGCAGCACAAAAAGACGGAUGUUUGAAAGCGGCGAGGCCACAGGGACUUUGGCGCCGCGACCCGCUUUUUUUUUUUUUUUUCCCUCCCCUCCACGUGUUGGCGGCGGACACGGCUCAGCCUCUGCAAUCGUGAGACUCACGACACAGAAUUUAAAAAGAUUAUCUGCUCUGAGCGAGAUGAGGUGGAGUCGCAACGCCGCCCUCCCUUUUCCGUUCCGCACUUCAAGUGUCAUAAAUACUCUGAGUUACUCCAUAAAUAGCCUCAGAAACACAAUCAUAACAACAAUAAUAACUCAUAAGGUCUAAACACACCUUUAUUAUCCCAAAGUAAUAAUAAUCACGGGAUAUGAAUGAAGAGGCGGGACACAAACAGGAAGUACUUUAUCAGAUUGUACCUCUCCCGUGCAUCAUUACAUCUUUAAUUAUGUUUGUGUACAAAGGAGUUUUCUUUUCAGAAGACGCAUAUUUUCACAUCCAAUAGGAAGUUUAUGAACCGGAUUAUUGUUCUGCUAAUAUACCGUAACGCAGGCAUGACCGUGAAUGAAUCAUUUCCAUACGCUGAGAUAGAUUACACUGACGGUAGACGGCUGGACCGUAGAGCCGUAGCAACCGACGUUCCAUGGAUGAUUCGCCAACAACGUUUAUGCUAUUCCAUUCAUUGUUUUUGGAUUUACAAAUGGAAAUAUCAUCUGAUUUCAGACUCUCAAAUGGGAAUAUUUUUUAAUUUUUGCUAUGUUGCCGACCAAAUUCGACCAACUCACUGAGACGCCACAUGGCGAUGGCGUCUGGGGCAUGGUGUGGCCGCUCGGAGCGUGUACCUGAAUACAGUGCACCAUACUGUCGACUGCUCGGAGCGUGUGCCUGAAUACAGUACACCUUACUGUCGGCUGCUCGGAGCGUGUGCCUGAAUACAGUACACCUUACUGUCGGCUGCUUGUAGCGUGUGCCUGAUUACAGUAAACCUUACUGUCGGUUGCUUGGAGCGUGUGCCUGAAUACAGUACACCUUACUGUCGGCUGAUCGGAGUAUGUGCCUGA
Molecule: non-coding RNA, 12083 nt
Organism: Doryrhamphus excisus (bluestripe pipefish)
Lineage: Eukaryota; Metazoa; Chordata; Actinopteri; Syngnathiformes; Syngnathidae
Source: RefSeq, a predicted model, not a curated record